CUGGCUCAGAACGAACGCUGGCGGCAGGCUUAACACAUGCAAGUCGAACGCCCCGCAAGGGGAGUGGCAGACGGGUGAGUAACGCGUGGGAAUCUACCUAGUUCUACGGAACAACAGUUGGAAACGACUGCUAAUACCGUAUACGCCCUAAGGGGGAAAGAUUUAUCGGAAUUAGAUGAGCCCGCGUAAGAUUAGCUAGUUGGUGGGGUAAUGGCCUACCAAGGCGACGAUCUUUAGCUGGUCUGAGAGGAUGAUCAGCCACACUGGGACUGAGACACGGCCCAGACUCCUACGGGAGGCAGCAGUGGGGAAUAUUGGACAAUGGGCGCAAGCCUGAUCCAGCCAUGCCGCGUGAGUGAUGAAGGCCUUAGGGUUGUAAAGCUCUUUCAGUGGGGAAGAUAA
Molecule: ribosomal RNA, 402 nt
Filed under: barley rhizosphere bacterium LJ9
Lineage: Bacteria
Description: bacterial SSU rRNA
Rfam family: Bacterial small subunit ribosomal RNA
Source: RNAcentral